UGUGUGGGUUGUUGCUGACCUCCUUGGGGGUAUGUGCACACCUGCCAUAGUUUCAUUCACCCUUCCACCUGUGCACUUUUUGUAGACUACGCUGUCAUUUUUUCAGGUUCGAUGAGCCUGGCAUGGGGAAUCGCCUUCUCUGGCCUUCCUUGGAUGGCUGUAGUCUAUGUUUUUAUCAACUCGUAUGUAAUGGAAUGUAUGACUGGGCUUUAUAGCCCAUAAAUCUUAUACAACUUUCAACAACGGAUCUCUUGGCUCUCGCAUCGAUGAAGAACGCAGCGAAAUGCGAUAAGUAAUGUGAAUUGCAGAAUUCAGUGAAUCAUCGAAUCUUUGAACGCACCUUGCGCUCCUUGGCAUUCCGAGGAGCAUGCCUGUUUGAGUGUCAUUAAAUCCUCAACUCCAUCUUCCAUGUGGAAAGAAUGGUCAGUUGGACUUUGGAAGCUGCUGGCUCGUUUUACAGUCAGCUCUUCUGAAAUACAUUAGCAGAGAACAAUGUGCAAGAUCUGCGCUUGGUCAUUGAUAGUUGUCUUACCAGGCUGACAGACCGAAACAUA
This 554-nucleotide ribosomal RNA is filed under the name Pluteus sp. SP393695. RNAcentral describes it as "eukaryotic LSU rRNA". The stretch from base 232 to 385 matches the Rfam family "5.8S ribosomal RNA". The record is from RNAcentral. Lineage: Eukaryota; Fungi; Basidiomycota; Agaricomycetes; Agaricales; Pluteaceae.